Sinocyclocheilus rhinocerous is the source of this 500-nucleotide long non-coding RNA. RefSeq lists it as uncharacterized. The record is from RefSeq and is a predicted model, not a curated record. Lineage: Eukaryota; Metazoa; Chordata; Actinopteri; Cypriniformes; Cyprinidae. The transcript has 3 exons.
CGCUGCUGCUGCGCGGAAAAGGAAGAGGAGGAUCGUUUUGACUCCACGAGACUAAUGUGGACCAAUUGGAAGCUCUGUGCAUUGUUGUGUUUCCUCAUCAAUUGCAGUGGUGUUUUUAUCCCGUCUGAGGUGUUCCUGGGAAUUAUUACGACUCCUGCUCUCUUGACAACUGUGUUUCUGUGGGAGGAAGAGGUGUAGGCUUCUUCAUCAAGUUUCCCUGUAGCAGUCAAAAUGACACACAGCGUCUGGCCAGGCUUGUGGUGUAUGAGUGAGAGAGAUUUCCCGUCUUCCUCGAGAUCGUUCUGAUUCUCAGCCUUUGGCAGAUGCUUCAGCCGGAAUGACUUCCAGUGCACUAAUUGCAGGGAAUGUAAUUAUGGAGCAAACUGUAGUUAAGUACUUAACUCUGGGGUUCAGUCAUGACGGAGUAUUGCAGCCUUCUCAGUAACUCUAGUUUCUGGGUGAAUUCACCACCUUUGUGUUUGUGAUCCAGAUCAUAAAUC